RNAcentral lists this transfer RNA (542 nucleotides) under uncultured Prochlorococcus sp. Its description in RNAcentral is "partial 16S-23S ribosomal RNA intergenic spacer". The stretch from base 212 to 284 matches the Rfam family "tRNA". Lineage: Bacteria; Bacillati; Cyanobacteriota; Cyanophyceae; Synechococcales; Prochlorococcaceae. The record is from RNAcentral.
CAGGGAGACAACAAAAUGUUUAAUAUUAUUAUUUUGUCACCUUAGGUCGAUCGGUAUCUCACGUUCUUAAUUUGUUAAGAAUUUCAUUUCCUAAGUUUUUCUAGGUCACACCCAUUAUUUUUCCUGGGCCAUUAGCUCAGGUGGUUAGAGCGCACCCCUGAUAAGGGUGAGGUCCCUGGUUCAAGUCCAGGAUGGCCCAUAUCUCUAUGUUGGGGGUAUAGCUCAGUUGGUAGAGCGCCUGCUUUGCAAGCAGGAUGUCAGCGGUUCGAGUCCGCUUACCUCCACUGAUUACCACCUCUUCCAUAACCGGUAUAAAGGAAAUGUUUUGAGUUGUGAUUAUUAUUCUGAACGAAUCUAGCUUCCUAAUGAAAUCAUUAAGAUGCUGGACUCAUUGAAUUAAUUUCAUUGUUUUCAGAGAACCUUGACAACUGCAUAGAUUAUUUUUAAAGACAAUAAGCAUCUUUAAUGAUGCAGAUUUAUUAUUUUUGCGAAUGCAUUAAUAACAAUUCUAUUAAGCUGAUGCUUCAAUUUUUGAAGUUAUU